RNAcentral lists this ribosomal RNA (73 nucleotides) under Clostridium botulinum. RNAcentral's name for it is "partial 16S ribosomal RNA". It matches the Rfam family "Bacterial small subunit ribosomal RNA", at positions 1 to 73 of the family's 1533-position model. Lineage: Bacteria; Bacillati; Bacillota; Clostridia; Eubacteriales; Clostridiaceae. The record is from RNAcentral.
UAAAUUUAGAGUUUGAUCCUGGCUCAGGACGAACGCUGGCGGCGUGCUUAACACAUGCAAGUCGAGCGAUGAA